This 367-nucleotide ribosomal RNA is filed under the name uncultured organism. RNAcentral describes it as "bacterial LSU rRNA". It matches the Rfam family "Bacterial large subunit ribosomal RNA", at positions 2099 to 2465 of the family's 2925-position model. The record is from RNAcentral.
CUUUACUGUAGCUUGUAUUGUGCCCGGGCUCUGAAUGCGCAGGAUAGGUGGGAGACUAUGAAGCAAUCCUUGUGGGGAUUGUGGAGUCAACGGUGAGAUACCACUCUGUCAGAGCUAGAAUUCUAACCUUCACCCGUUAUCCGGGGAAGGAACCGUAUCAGGGGGGCAGUUUGACUGGGGCGGUCGCCUCCUAAAGUGUAACGGAGGCGCGCAAAGGUGUUCUCAGGCUGGUUGGAAAUCAGCCGUAGAGUGUAAAGGCAGAAGAACGCUUGACUGUGAGAGUGACAACUCGAGCAGGGUGGAAACACGGCCUUAGUGAUCCGACGGUAUGUGCGUGGAAAUGCCGUCGCUCAACGGAUAAAAGUUA